UCCGAUCUCUGCUCCUGUUGAAACCUGGGGGCUCCGAGGAACCAGUGAUGCAGGAGGGAGAAACUCAAACCCACCAGAAGGCAGCUCCUCACUGUCAUCCAUCUGCCCUGGCCGUAGUCGAAUCACAGCUUGGGACUGCCAUCCUCUUUCUGCCUUGGAGCUUUCCCUCAUGCUGUUCCACUGCUGGGAUGGACCUCCCUUUCUCUCCCUCACCUGUUUAAUGGUCUCCUCACCCUCUACUUCCACUUGAACAGGCACUGUGAAGUUCCUGCACUUUAAGCUAUCAUAGCCUCUGCCGGCCCUGAUCCCUUGUCCUUCAAAUACCACCUCCAGCAGGAUGCCUCCUGGCAAGGCUGCCCCUUCCUGACACACUAGGUGGGACUACUCAAAGAAUACCCUGUGGUCAGCAGCAAUUGAAACCAUCAAUUCAUGCAUACUUGGCUAGGAAAGCCUAUUUUGAAAAACUGUGAUUUGGAAAACUAGGUGAGUUAUAUGAAAUUCUAAUUUGUUUUAUAUCUUAUAAGGUACUUUGGUCAUUGCCAAAGAUAGGACCCUAGACAUAUGUAUGUCCCCCUACAUCGUGUGAAGCUGGAAGGUUCAUGCAUUUACUCUAAAGCUCCUAAAGUUAAGAAAGCUGUGUAUUUAUGGAUCAUGAAU
Molecule: non-coding RNA, 657 nt
Organism: Odocoileus virginianus texanus
Lineage: Eukaryota; Metazoa; Chordata; Mammalia; Artiodactyla; Cervidae
Source: RefSeq, a predicted model, not a curated record